This is a non-coding RNA of Vicia faba (fava bean), 405 nucleotides long. The record is from the annotation of a GenBank genome assembly. NCBI's taxonomy places the organism in Eukaryota, Viridiplantae, Streptophyta, Magnoliopsida, Fabales, Fabaceae.
UUAGGGUUAAAUAUAUGUGACUUUUCAGAUUCCUUCUCAAAGAGAAUUCAUCUUUCCCCCUCCUUCUCCGUCGCUUGCGAUUUUUCCUCUCCGAUAAAACAAACCUGGCGCAGUUGUAAACACAUCCUUCCUCUGUUCAUCCCACUCUCCUUUUCCUCCACCGAGUUUGGUUCAUCACUUACUCAUAUCAGUUUCAACCUAAUCCUUUGUUCGAUUUCAUCUCCGUUUCAACCUAAUCCUCCAUUCGAUUUCAUCUACUCAACUGUGUUGUCUUCUUCAAUUUGGAUCGUUCUCCUGUUCGUCUUUCUCAUCUCAGCACACAAAAACAGAAUGCUAACGCAGAAACAGAAAGCUAACACACGGGGAAACAACAACGAUAUGAAGAAUUUGAAGCAACGAGACUGA